UUUAUUUUAUUAUUAAAAUCAAACACAUUGAUUUGAUGGCCCUUCAACAAUACAAUUUUUUCCCAACAGAUUUCUUCUAUCCUCGUCCACAGAAGUCUGCUGCCACUUUGGAAAUUAAGUUUUCACCAAAAGAAGAAAAUGAGAAGCAGAAGAAACAAGGGAUGAGUGGAAGAAGCAUUAUCAAAGUCCCUCCUUCUCAUCAUGCUCUUUUUUGCACUCCAAAUUUGCGUUCUCCAAUUGACAAGGAAUUAUUCAAAUUCUCCACACAGCCACUUUCUUGGUUAGUUCCAUUAGAAGAAAAGGAAAAUGGUCGCGCUUUCUGCUGCUGAUUGUUACAAAAGUUGUUUUCUAAACAGAAAGAAUAAUACGUAUGACUCAUAAAUUGUAACGGUCCAUAGGAAUGUUCCUUUACAUUCUCAAUUAUGUUUAAUAUUCCCAUAGGAAAGCUCUUUUCUAAUUUUUCAGCCC
Molecule: long non-coding RNA, 468 nt
Filed under: Cicer arietinum (chickpea)
Lineage: Eukaryota; Viridiplantae; Streptophyta; Magnoliopsida; Fabales; Fabaceae
Description: long non-coding RNA (CARI_LNC003033)
Source: RNAcentral